This 74-nucleotide transfer RNA is filed under the name Thermobacillus xylanilyticus. Its description in RNAcentral is "transfer RNA-Gly". It matches the Rfam family "tRNA". From Rfam's summary of the family: Transfer RNA (tRNA) molecules are approximately 80 nucleotides in length. Their secondary structure includes four short double-helical elements and three loops (D, anti-codon, and T loops). Further hydrogen bonds mediate the characteristic L-shaped molecular structure. tRNAs have two regions of fundamental functional importance: the anti-codon, which is responsible for specific mRNA codon recognition, and the 3' end, to which the tRNAs corresponding amino acid is attached (by aminoacyl-tRNA synthetases). tRNAs cope with the degeneracy of the genetic code in two manners: having more than one tRNA (with a specific anti-codon) for a particular amino acid; and 'wobble' base-pairing, i.e. permitting non-standard base-pairing at the 3rd anti-codon position. Lineage: Bacteria; Bacillati; Bacillota; Bacilli; Caryophanales; Paenibacillaceae. The record is from RNAcentral. RNAcentral also lists the same sequence under 3 other names.
GCGGGUGUAGUUCAAUGGUAGAACGCCAGCUUCCCAAGCUUGAGACGAGGGUUCGAUUCCCUUCACCCGCUCCA